GGCCCACAUUUUGAAUUGUAUUGUACGAGAUUACUAUAACUGAAUAUAAUGCCGUAUGAAUGAAUUGUAAUAGAUGAGUUGUAUCAUCAGCUGUGACGGAGAAAGCGCUGGCAAUGGGAGCUUUUGCCAGAGUUGCCGUUUCGUAGUCACUCAAAAGUUAGUUUAAAAUGUUUAUAGGUUUUUUAUGGAGAAGUUUAUAGAUGAUCAAAGUGUAUAGUGUAUUAUAUUUAUAUUGCUUUUUUUACAUUUCGCUAGCAAUACGUGCUCUACUUUGCGAUGAAAUGUUCCAUAAAAUUAAUGAGACCUUAAUGGAUUUUAUUUAAGUGACAAACAUUCGUGAGAACUAAUGUGGGUGAAUUGAAACCGAGUUCUGGAAUGCUGCGCCAAGAGAAGCACUUACAAACUUACACAUAUGCAAGUAUGUGACUACGGGAGGUAUUGGACCGGCUCACUAAAUAUAAAACUGCAUAGAAGCGCAUGAAGGAGAACCGCAAUAAGUUAUACAAGUAGAGAAGAACGUGCAAAAAGUAAUAGCAAAUGCAAAAAUAGUUGUAAGAACAACAAAUGGUGUAAUAGUGGAUAUAAUACCAAUAAAUAAUGCAUAAAAGCAAAGGCAAGGUUGCAAACUGGUAUUGGAGUAAUGUGAAACCGUCGCGCUGUGGGAGGAGCUGGUGUGGUAUAACAGCAACAAGACCAAAUCGCUGUUGUUGUUAUUGUGCUUGUACUUGCACCUAGUUAUUUUUUUGCUGCUUGUAUAUUUGAGAUCAAGAUCAAGGUUUUUUCCCUCAGCCUCAUGCAAUACCUUGCGUCUUAUGUGCUUGGCUUGUACUGUUUGUGUGUGUUUUUUUUGCAGUCGCUUAACGACAACCAGUUGUUCGCGUUAGUACAAAGCAAUGCAAAGCAACAUCGAAAAAAAAACUUCUAAACAGUGCAAGUAGCUGCAGACAACGGCAAAAUUAUAGCUGUUCAGAAAUACUUAUGUACGUCGUUUGGCCCAGCUGGGAUGUGAGAAACAAUUCCGUUCGAAGGCAAGGAUACUCUUACAUACAUACAAACGUGGUGGAUACAUGCAUAAAUUCGAUAAGGGGCCCAAGCGAUCGUUAGCAAAGCAAAUGCUGCAACUUUAGGAGACAAAUAUAAGCAAAGUGCGCAGGGAACAAGACUGCACGAAAGAUGUUUCCUUCCCGACAAGUUUACGAAAAAAUCAAAGCCAAAGUCAGAGUCAAUGGCAGAACGAAAAGUUGAGAGUCGUUUGGCGUCGUGAUCACGCAAUGCUUUGGCGAAGCUAUUUUCGUACAAAACAUACUACCUAUAUACAAACAUACAUACCAAUAUGUAUAUGGGUAUGCGAAGCAUUCGAGCCAGCCUACCAAAGUUUUUGAAAAACCACGUUAAAAUGUGUGUAUGCGCCAAGAAUAAAAAACGAACGCUGUUGGUUGGAAGCGAAAGGGGCAGCAGAUGAAACAUAAAUAAAGUAAUGAAAAGAAUCACGCGAAACAAAGUUUGCAACUAUUACGUCUGCUUGGCUGGGCACGUUUUGCCUGGCCGUUGACUAUGACCACAACGGCGCGGCACAAUAUGUAUGACCAGCCAAAGACAGAUAAUGUAUCUAGAGGAUAAAAGUUAUGUAUGUAUGUGUAUGUUACGUAGCGCAAUUACGUGAGUGUGCGCGCAUGUGCUUAGUAGUUGAAUUUAAAAUAGUUGCCUUAAGAAUUCCAAAGCCCAUGAUUACAUUGGACUAAGUGCCAACAGAAGAGCAACCAGUGGUAUGAGCUUGCUAGCACAAUAUAGCGUACAUAUCGCUGUACUUACAUACAUGUAUAAUAACUAUCGUACGUAAGCGUUAUGUAUGUGCAUAUUUAGGUGCUUCGUGUGCAGUAAAACCAGUUUUUCAUAUAAAUAUGUAUAUUAUUUGUUUGUAAUUGCAGGCGCAUAAGAACCACACCAUUUAAGCCAGCUGAGUUGAGGUGUUGGAACUUGACUGCACUUGAGUUGUUUGAAAAUUAAUUAUAUAGUAAAUGGCACGCAAAGUGUUAUAAUUUGUUAUAAAGGAAGAUGCAUCUACUGCGUUCGAAAUACUGACGAAAUUUUCAAAGAAAUGCGAUUUUUUGUUGAAAAAAAUUUAAAAACUUGUUACCAUAUAAAUUAUGGCAUAUUAAAUAUGGCCAUAAAUAAAAACAUUGUUGGUUGCAGCAUUUUAAUUUGACAUAUCCGCGCUUUGGCAGCAAUCUAACAGGGGCUGUACGUUGACUGGCUGUUUGUUGGGUGCUGUGAUAGGUUAUAUUAAAUUUGGCACGAAGGAAACGUUGGAGACUCAAUAAAAAAUAUAUAUAAUGAUCAGCUUGAGGAGCCGAGUCGAGUUUGCCUUGUACUACUGGCUGUCUGCAUAUACGCCAACUAGUCCCUCAGUUUUUGACUUAUUGAUCUGGAUUUAUGCACAUGCCUUUUUCUCUUCAAGGAAUUACGCAUUUGACAGAAUCGCCAAUAUCGGACCGCUGUAACCUACAGCUGCUAAAUGAACUAACCGAUCAAAAUAAAGUUCUUGUAUGGAAAACUAUUUUAUUUGACAUGUUCAGAUUCAAGAAAUUUUGUAUGGAUUAUCAUCCUAGGUAACGGUAUAAACUUUGAAAAACUAUAGCAUAUACAUAUCUAUCAUAUAAACCAACCAACUAAAAUCGAGUUCUUGUAUGGAAACCUGUCCGAUUUGUGCAGGGUAUUUAGCUUCCUUGCAAAGUUAACGUUUCUUUCCUGUGUUUAGUAUAGAAGCAAAAAUGUGCACGUCAGAGCAUUGCUCUUUUAGCUUCGUGACGUUAAGUAAUUCAAAUUGAAUUGUAAAUGUCAAUAUAUUUACAAACGUAUAUAAAUUAAUAAUAAAAUGUGCUUUCAUACAAUGUAAUGUGUAUGUAUGUAUGCAUAAA
This is a long non-coding RNA of Bactrocera neohumeralis, 2918 nucleotides long. RefSeq lists it as uncharacterized. The transcript has 5 exons. Lineage: Eukaryota; Metazoa; Arthropoda; Insecta; Diptera; Tephritidae. The record is from RefSeq and is a predicted model, not a curated record.